Non-coding RNA from Callithrix jacchus (white-tufted-ear marmoset), 8949 nucleotides. Lineage: Eukaryota; Metazoa; Chordata; Mammalia; Primates; Cebidae. The record is from RefSeq and is a predicted model, not a curated record.
UGUGGUGGGCGAGAUUGACGGGAGGAUCGGUAGGCUGGGAGAUGCCGGGAAGUCUUCCUUGAGACUGGAUUAGAAAACAAAAAUCUGGUGAAAUUUGCGGCAGGAGGGAGUUAAGGACGUUCCAGGCAGAGGCAAGCUGGAAGAAUCAGAGAAAAGACCAUGCAACAGCCAUACCUAAUGAGAGAAGGGGGAGUUCUGGAGGGAAUACAGUCACAAGGAGGAAUCCUCUAUUUCUGUGUAUGAAUUCCACCCAAGUCUCAAGCUCACUUCUGAAUCACAUGUGCUCAACAGAAACUCAGAGUCUUAAAGAAAUGAACUGGGAUUUAAGUUACCACUCACAAAAAGUGAGACAAAGCCUCUGAUACAAGUCUAAGUUAAUUGCCUGCUUAAGUGUUUUUUCUUAAGGAAUAUGUGAAAGAAAAAUAGAAUCUUGGGACACCAAACUCACUAUGCCAAAGGGAAAGUGAAGCUUGGGAGUUGAGUCACUAGCAAAAACUGCAUUCCUUUAAUCCCAAAUAACUAUACUUUUACAUGUUUAUUUUAUCUUGUGUAAAAUCUAGAUUUAGAUUUCUCAUCUUUUGAAAAAGAUUUUCUUUUCAAUUAUGCCUGAGAAGAAUGCAUAAUUGACUUUUCCCUUACUCCCUUCUUUUCAUAUGUAAUCACUGGACAAGCAGAGCCUCAUAAGGAUGUAACGAUUUUCCUACUUGCUCACCCACUCCUUUUUUUCUUCCCCUCAUGCUUGCCCUUUUCUCUUUAAAUAUUGAAGUUUCAAAACCCUCUUUGGAAAAAGUUCAGGUUACAGAUUCUACUUUGACUUGUGUUUCUUAGUCACCGGUGUGCCCUCAGCCUUGGCAAAAUAAACCUCUGAGAUCUGCCUCAGUUACUUUUUGGUUUACAACUAGAACUCAAGGCAUAUACUGAAUAACAUACACAAUGUUCAGAAUAAAACCCAAAAUGACUUGAUAUACAAAGAACUAGAAAAAUGUUAAACAGUCUCAAGGAAAACAAAUGGCAACCCUAGGAUGAUCCGGAUGUUGGAAUUAUUAGACAGGAUCUUUAAAGGAUCUCUUUGACUGUGCUUAAGGAGGUAAUUGACUCCAUCGAUGACUAUCUGAACAAGCUCCACCUUUGACAGUGAAGAAGAUGAAUUAUUAAUUUGAAUAGAAGACACCUGCAGGGCAGUGACAGGAACAACACUGGGAUAAAUGAGAACUUGCCACUUAGAUGGACUUCACCACAAUUUCUUUCUCCUCAAAGAUGGAAGUUAUUUCCCAUGGAAAAAUAAUGUUACAGAAUGAAAAGCUAACAUAACUCAGGACUGGAUGGGUGAAGAGGAGGCCUCGAAUUCUGUGAAAACGGGAACUGCCUUCAGCUCUCUGCAACAGAAGAACCCAAAGGGUGGACCUGAAGCAACAGAAGAACCCAAAGGGUGGGCCUGAAGGAGGAAGUCUGCAGGCAUUUGCCUCGGCAGAGAGACUACUCUGUGGAGGGGAUGCAUGGUGGCUGCGUUCUGUUCCAGCCAACCACUCUGUGCUUCUGCACGGAGGAUGACGAUGCUGUUUGACAGACCAGAUGCUCUUUUGAACUUUGCCACUAGACCACAACUAGACCCUGAACAGGAUGGAUUUCUGGACUUCUGAAAGGUAGGAGAAAUUUCUGAGGACCACCCUCCCACUCUGCUAAAGUUGGGAUGCCAGCAAUGGGGAUGGGGGCCGAGACUGGGAUUCCCUCAUUGGAGUAGGUCCUUUGAAAGAGGUUGAAGUGGCACAAAGUCAGCAGACCCCAUCCUCUGACUCCCACCUGAAGCAGGCCUAAAAGCUCUCUGAGGAAAUUAUAUUCAGUUUAGGCCCUCGAUUCCUACAGAUUAAGAUGAAAGAACAAACUCCCAAAGAUCACCAAACACACAAUGAACAAGAGUCAACAGAAGAAAUAACAGAUUUAGACUGCUAACGACUGAAGAUGUUUAGGACUGUCAAACAAUAGUAUAAAUAAGCCCUCGAUUGAAUGUUUAAAGAACUAAGUGUGGAAUCAUAAUUAUGAGCAAGCAACAAGAGACUAUUAAGAAUGACCAAGCUGAUUUGAAAGAAUCAAAUUAAACUACACAUUAUGACACAGCUGAACAUAGAACAGAUGAACUGGAAGAUAUUAUCUUAAGAAAUUACUCAUAAUAUAUCACAGAGAAAUGAGAAAAUGGAAAAUAGAUAUAAAUUAAGAGAGAUGAUGGAUAGAAUGUCAAGCUCAAAUACACAUCAAAUUGAAGUCCCAGAAAGACAGACCAGAGAAAACAGAGAAGUCAAAUUUGAAGAGGAAUAACUGAGACAUUUUUAGAACUGAUAAAAGAAUCGGUGAUUCAAGAGAUAUAAUCUAAGUAAACAAAAAAAUUGACACUUAAACAAAUAAUAAUGAAACUGCAGAUUAUUGGUGACCAAGAUGUGAAAAGCAGUCAGAAAGAAAAGACACUUUAUCUACAAAGAAAUGACAAACAUGAACUGAUUUUUCAGUAAUGAGCCCAGGUAAAUAAUAUUUUUAGAACCAAUAACUAUUAACCUAGAACUGGGGGACUAGUCUAACCAUUUUUUCAAAAUGAGAGUGAAAAAACAUAUUGAUAAAAAACAGAUCAAUAACAGGAAUUACUAAACUAUAUGCUUGAGAAAGAAAGGAAAUGACAGCAAAAGGAGAGCCUAAAAUGCAGAAAAUGGAAAAAGCAUGUAUAAAUUAAAUAAAAUUUAUAUACUUAUUUAUAAUACAAGUACUAAGCUACCAACAAAUGAUGAGAAACAGGAUAAACAUGCACAGACAGAAACCCUGCUGGGUCUGCUAGUGCCCCAAGAUUAGAAGGGCCAGUUAGCCCUACAGUAUUACCUAGCAGGAGCUAUGCAACAUGGCUCUUUGAGUAGAGAACAAAAGAGCAGGUACCUCUCAGUACUUACUCUCUGAUGUUCAUGAUGCCCAUAUAAAGAGUGUAUGGGCCAGCCACGGUAGCUCACGCCUGUAAUCCCAGCACUGGGAGGCUGUGGUGGACAGAUCAAUUGAGGCCAGGAGUUUAAGAUCAGCCUGGACAACAUGGCAAAACGCUGUCUCUACUAAAAAUACAAAAAAUUAGCUGGGUGUGGUGGCAUGCAUCUGUAGUCCCACCUACUCAGGAGGCUAAGGCAUGAGAAUCACUUGAACCCAGGAGGCAGAGGUUGCAGUGAGCCAAGAUUACACCACUGCAAUCCAGCCUGGGUGACAGAGUGAAACUCUAUUUCAAAAAAAAAAAAAAAGGAAAAGUAUGGAUUUCCCUAACAUUUGGAAGGCCCCCAAGACUCAGCUGGAAGCUGUUCCAAGCUUAGAUGGAUUGAUUGCUUCAAAGAACUUGCUGAUGUGGAAGACUGUAGCUGAAAACCUGGGCUAUCCAGUGAAGGAUAAACAACUCUCCCAAAAAGUUGAACCAUCAUUUGGAAGCUUCUGCUAAACCUGAAUGUCCCCACUAAAAGCAUCAAAAACCUUGAAAACAUUUGAGAAGUUGUUUAUCUGCAUUAGCCCAGGGAAUUAGAUUAGUUCUUCCAUGCUAAUAUCUGCAAACAAUUCUUUUAAUUCUAAAGACAACAUAAGUUACUAAGACAAAUUAGUCAUUUCUUGAAGUUGUCCUGGGGACUUGUAAAGACCCAACAUUAAAUCUGAUCAUGUAAACUUUGCUCCCUUACUAGAUUUCAGGUUGUCUUGUAAGUAUCCCUCCGAGAAUGGAUAACGGCUCUUCAAGGAGCUGCACCAGUGCUUCCUGGUCCUUGCAUGCAGCAGGCAACACCAGCGCACAUCCUUUGGGCUAUCUUAUCUACUGUCACACCCUCAAAUCCACUUUCUAACUAGAGAGAGGCAAUGCUGACACUCUAGAGGUUUACUGUCGAACUCACCAAAGUCAAAGAAGCUCUGCCCAGAUUCUUUCCAGACAGUAUGGGCCUAAACAUAAGCCAGACAUGGUCUUCCUAAGCUGACUGGAAGUACAUUCCUUUCUGGGAUUGACCCAAAUAACUUGAUCUUUUCCUUUCCUUAAAUUGCCUAUCCAGUGACAGGUGUUCAAGUCAGAGUCUGGGAGGAUAAAUCUUAGGAAUCAGAGCCAAGAGGAAGGGGAGGGAUUGGUCUCCAUGAACAGCCAGGUGACCACUGGAGGUUUUCAAAGGUCUUCCUCGGUCUUCCUCCCUAUAAGGGUGAUGUGUGAGUGGGCAUCUGGCUCAAAAUAUAAUGUUUGACGUGUCAUCUAUAUGUUAGUUCCUAGAAGGAACUUAUUCUAAUUAAUUUAGAAUUAGUAAUUAAUUUAUUCUCAGAGUUCCAACACUGCCCUUGUAUCUGAGCAACAAAGGAUGAUUCAUGCAGAUAAUCCUGGGGAGGCUUUGGUCGAGACUAGCAAAGCAAUCUUGAAACUGAAAUUCCUCCGUGUCCUUGCUUUGAUUCCUUAGAGAGAAUUGAUACAGACUCCAAGUUUUAGUGAAGCAAAGAAUUCCUGCUUCCUUGACUCUGAUUUUCUCUUGCCAGGACACAAAGAGGCAUUGAAUUUCACCCUUAGGCCUUAAUUAGUAACCUUGUUUGUGAAAUUGAAACAAAGGUCUCAGUGAAAGGCUGGCAAUGGCUGUUCCAUGCUCUCUGAAGACCCAGAAUCAAGGCUUGCAACGAAAUCACUUUUCCUCAUGACUAAACUAAAUCUCUCUUGCAUGUUAAAAGUCUUUUAAAAGCUGUGCAGUCAGAACAUUGCUUUGGCUUUCACAUUUCCCUGUUACCUGGCAGGCCCCAAAUGUUACACAAGCAUUCUCUGCAGCUGUAACCACUACUCAGAAGAGGCUUGACUUGUUAUUUGCACACAUGAUAACGUGGCAUAAAUAAGUAAAGCUGGGAAGAUGUUUGUAAGGGGUUAUCUGUGUCUACCAAAGCAGAUAGUAUUUAGUUUCCAAACAUGGUUUUAUAAGUCAGUAUAUCUUGUGCUACCAUCAGGACAGAAGUUUGGAACAAAAAGAAAUCUGAGGCUCACUUGCAAAGCUUUUUUAAUGUUUUCAAUUCCCUCCAUGUUCUGGGCAUUAUUAUUACAUACUCAAUUGUUCUGUUCAGAGAUCACUAGGGAGAGGAGAUGAGGAACCAGAGCAGCCAGGAUGUUUCUCCCUGGGAUAAAAGCUCAAGCAUUCAGACAGCCUCACCGUGGGCUCCACUUCUGUAGCCAGAGGGGAUUGCAAACAGCAGGAGCAUCUCACAUACAGCUUGUAGGAAGCACACAUCUUUUCCCCAAAUGUUUUGUUUGGUAGUUGGUCCUUGCUGGCUGAUCCAACUUCCCCGUCAGCAUAUGAUGAGCAGUUGAGUGAGAUGACCACACUUCCAAUCCUGGCAGGUACGGGUCUAUACAAGGACCUUCUCCCAGGGAACCCUGGCUGCUAGAUACCAUAAGGCUGAGGGAAUCUGCCUUCUCAACUUCGCUGCUGCCCAUGUUCCUUCCCACCAUCCCCUUCGCUCUAAUUGGCCCUGUUUUCCGGCCUCACAUCUACCACUGUGCCAUCUUAGAUCAGUUAAACAGCCUAGGAAUGGCUUCUAGCCCAAGCAGGAAGCACAGAAUUCAUCCAUCACCCACUAAAUCCCAGGCACUGUGCUAGGUGAUGAUGAUAUGAAAGUGAGCAAAAUAAACAGUUCUGUCCUGUGGGGGCUUCUAAUUCAUUUGUGGCAGACAGUCAAGAAACAAAAUCAUCAUAGGUGGGGUGAGUGCAGAGAAGGAAAUAAGCAGGAUAUCAUUCAGGGAAAGUAGAAGUGAUACUUUCAAAUAGGCUAGUCAGGAGCAAAGAGAAUAGAACAGCAAAGCCUCAAAGCUGGACAGAUCUGGACUUGCCCCAGAACAGAAAGGAGGUCAGUGGGGCUGAAGCACAGGGAACAAAUCACAGUGGACUGCGGGAAGGGUGGAGGGGUGGGGUUGAGGGGAGCCAGCUGCUCAGGGCCCUGAGAACACCGUAAGGAGUCUGGAGUUUAUUCCAGUGCAGAGGAAAUUCACAGAUGUGCUUACAAGCAGGAGAGGAGCUGAACUGAUUUCAUCAGUUACAGGGGCAGCUCUGGCUGCCAGUGGAGAAUGGCUUAGAGGGACAUGUGCAGAAUGGAAGCAGAGAGCAGUCAGAGAGGCCCUGGAGGUUGUCCCGUGAGAGAUGAGGUGCUGAGACCCCGGUGAGUUGGCGAGGAUGAGAAAGAAUGUAUUUGCACUCUGUUGUGGGGCAGAACUGACAGGUCUUGCUAAUGGUUUGGAAAUGUAAGAGAAAAUCAGGGAUGCCUGAGAUUUCUGUCCUACAGUUGGUAGGGUGGUGAGGCCCUUAGGUUUUGGGGCCUGCUGGUAUGAGAGCAGUUGGAGAGUAGAGGGUUGCUGGCAGAGGUGGCCCCAGGCCUCUCCCACUGCAGCCACUGGGAUUCCUCACAGCUCUAGCCGUGCUGCGCCCUCUGCCUGCUUACCUGCUACCCUAUCUCAGCUUUCCCAUCCCGCUAGCUGCUGGGACUCUUUCAAAGGCUUCAUAACACCUACACUGAAGGCCUGGCCAUCAGGCCCCAUUUCUGCCCAGCACCACUACAGAGACUGCUGUACCCAGUGGUGACAUUGUGCCCUAUGAACUUCCCCACAUUCUCUUCAACUCCCAGAUGACCUCAGAUGUAGCUGCUCUCUCAGGCCUUCAGAGUACCUGUCCACCCAAAUGAGUAAUAUUUGCAUUACAAGGAGGAAAAAGGAGAGAGGAAUGGGGAACCACUGGGUACCUGCUGUUGUCCCUCUUUUCCAGAUGAAACCAGAUACUCCUCUAUGAAGUUAAGUGACUUGUGUCAGGGUUACACUGCUAGUGAGUGACGGAGAUGGAAUUUGAAUGCACACCUGUCUGACUCCACCUCCCAUGUUCUUUCUGCAUGGCCACCAAGCUCCACUGUCCUUCCUUGCUCUCUGGGAGGUGGCAACCCUCUCUUUCCACCCACUUUCUGGAUCUUGACAAGUGGUUCUGCCCUGCCCCAGCUGUCAAAGCCUGCAACCGCUGCAAAAAAAAAAAAAAAAAAAAAAACCUCAACACAAGUGCACUUUGGACCUCUGUCAUGUGUUGAUGUCACAGAUGCUGUACUGGGCCUUUGACUCCUUGAUAUAAAGCCAGGAUUCCUUCCUGGAGGCCAUAAGGUGGACAGAGGUGGGAAGCAGUCAGGAAUAUAAUAGACUGUCCAAAAGUGUUAUUUGAGAGGCAAGAGGCAGGGUGAGGAGGGCAGUCGGUGGGUUUUCAUGAAAAGCGAUGCACGGCCGGGCAUGGUGGCUCAUGCCUGUAAUUCCAACAUAUUGGGAGGCCAAGGCAGGCAGAUCACUUGAGGUCAGGAGUUCAAGACCAACCUGGCCAACAUGGCGAAACCCCAUCUCUACUAAAAAUAACAGAAAUUACCUGGGCAUGGUUGUGGGUGCCUGUAAUCCCAGCUACUUGGGAGGCUGAAGCAGGAGAAUUAUUAGAACCUGGGAGGUGGAGGCUGCAGUGAGUUAAGAUUGUGCCUGUGAACUACAGCCUGGGCAACAGAGUAAAACUGUCUCAAAAAAAAGAAAAAAAAAUGGGGGAUGCAUGCUCACACAAAGGAAUCCUAACAGAAGAAAAAUGGCAUGAUCGGUUUCCUCCUAUGUAGCACUGUGAUGAAAGAACACCUUUCAGGUAUGUGCCUUGAUGGAGGAAGGGGGGCAGUGAGAGGUUUGAGGACAAGCCGCUGAUAACCCUCAUGUAUCAUCACAGUGGCGCCCUUUGGGAGCCUCCUCUAGUGAGCUAGUCCACUCUGGGAAGAGGAAUUGUCUUAUCCACAAUUCUGUCUUCAACAUUGAAAUUCCUCUGGGCAAAGCCUAAAAGAGAGCUGCCUCAUUUCAUGUAACUAUAGUGUAUGUAGUGAAGAGGCUCCAAUGUGUUUUCAAGGCAGUCCGAGAGCUCUUUCUGGAAAUCCUAGGCUGAUGACAUCUGCAUCUAAUUCUAAUUUGUCUUACAACCAGGCUGAGACCUUCAGCAUCAUCAGACUGUGGAACUGCUCAGGUCAGGACAGGCAGAUAGAAAGGCCCACAUGGAUAGUGGUUCCUCCUCCCAGGAGGCCCACACCAGGAAGGGGCACGUGAUGUUAAUGUGAGGCAAGCAGUUAUGUCUUGUGAUUUCCAUGAAUUACACUAAGGAAGUUUAUCUCACUUGGUUCGUGACUUCUGUUAGUGAAAAGUAGCUUGCUGGCCUAUACUGUGGUGGACUUGCAGAAAACUUCCCAGCCACAAGGUUCAGGCAGAAGGUUCAGACAUCUCCCCUGGUUCCUCCCCAACCCAUUUAGUGUGAAACAAGACAAAGGGAAACAUUUCAUUCAAUCUAUUUUUGGGGAAAGAGGCAACUGUCAACUAAGAUUGUAUUAGAGACCAGGCAUGGUGGCUCACACCUGUAAUCACAGCACUUUGGGAGGCCAGGGCGGGCAGAUCACCUGAGGUCAGGGGUUCGAGACCAGCCUGGCCAACAUGGCAAAACUCUGUCUCCACUAAAAAUACAAAAAAAUAUUAGCCGGCACGGUGGCACAUGCCUGUAAUCUCAGCCACUCAGGAGGCUGAGGCAUGAGAAUCGCUUGAACCUGAGAGGUGGAGGUUGCAGUGAGCCGGGAUCACACGACUGCCCUCUUGCAGCCUGGGUGAUAGAAAGUGUCUCAAAAAAGAUCCUGUUAGGAAUUUGAUGAAAGCUCACACAGUUCAUGCACACAUCAUUUGGGACCUGUCACGGGGCCCUAGAACAUCAGGACACAGUAGCCUGCCUCACAUUCAGCUGCAUGGCGCUAGAGCCCUGCAUGAUCUCAACUUGAAAAACAUGUAUGUAUAUAUACAUUUGUGUAUUCUACUAUUAAAUACUGUAUAUGACUUUUUAAAAGAUUGGUUUGCUGUUUCUGUUUUGUGCUAAUGCAAUAAAUCUUACUAAUUUGUUUUAGAAAAUGUUA